GACGAACGCUGGCGGCGCGCUUAACACAUGCAAGUCGAACGGAAAGGCCUGCUUUCCCUUGUGGAUUGCGGGUACUCGAGUGGCGAACGGGUGAGUAACACGUGAGUGAUCUGCCCCCAACUUGGGUAUAAGCCUGGGAAACUGGGUCUAAUUCCCGAUAGGACUGCAGGGUGGUGCCUGUGGUGGAAAACGAUUUUCUAGUGGUUGGGGAUGAGAUCGCGGCCUAUCAGCUUGUUGGUGGGGUAAUGGCCUACCAAGGCGGCGACGGCUAGCCGGCCUGGGAGGGUGGGCGGCCACAUUGGAACUGAGAUACGGCCCAGGCUCCUACGGGAGGCAGCAGUGGGGAAUAUUGCACAGUGGGCGGAAACCUGAGGCAGCGACGCCGCGUGGGGGAUGACGGGCUUCGGGUUGUAAACUCCUUUCGACCGCGAGGAAGCCACCUGGUUGGAAGGGUAGUGACGGUAGUGGUAGAAGAAGCACCGGCUAACUACGUG
This 494-nucleotide ribosomal RNA is filed under the name uncultured bacterium. Its description in RNAcentral is "partial 16S ribosomal RNA". It matches the Rfam family "Bacterial small subunit ribosomal RNA", at positions 28 to 507 of the family's 1533-position model. The record is from RNAcentral.